RNAcentral lists this long non-coding RNA (420 nucleotides) under Capra hircus (goat). RNAcentral describes it as "lncRNA (ENSCHIG00000006865.1)". The record is from RNAcentral. Lineage: Eukaryota; Metazoa; Chordata; Mammalia; Artiodactyla; Bovidae.
GUGGGGUUUUUUUUAAAUCACUUUUUUUAACUGAUAGGUACAUGAAACCCAACCUGCUGCAACACUAGAGGCGCUAUUUCUCAACACACCAGAACCCACCCCAGGGGAGCUUCAGGAGCCUGAGAACCAGCUUGAAGAAAGCAAUGUGAAAAGCACUGGAUUUCACAAAAGCCCAGGCUGCAGUGAUAGUGAGAAGCAGGAACGCAGCAGGAAAGCUCCCCACUGACGGUCUGCGCGGGUCCGUAGCAAGCACACAGCUGCCGUCUGUGACUUCUGUCCUCGACACCUGGAAUGAACGGGCAGCCCUCCCUUCUCUCGCGUCUCCUGCAACCAUUGACGAUGCAUCUCCCUAAGCAAAGGAACAUCACGAACAGACCUACGCGGACAGCUGUAAGAACUUCUGUUUGCAACAACUCCUGC